GAACUCUUGUAAGCUAUUUAAGCUAUUAAGUUCAUACCUUAAAAAAGGAUACGUCCCGUGAGUUUUUGUUUUCUCUUAAACACAGCCGAUAGCAUAAAACCAUGGAAACACUUUCCAGAUUUGAAAGUUCUGUGUGACUGAGGGAUUUGUAUAGCGAGGAUAAAUGCGUGCCAGCAACCGCGGAUACACGCAUUCCGCAUGCUGAAAUAAAUGAAAUGUACACCCCACAAGCAUGAUAAAAUUAAAUAUGCUAACCUAAACUGGCGGAGUGAAGGAGGCUAGAUAGCUCCGUAACGCAGUCAAACCGUGUUGAGCAGUUAAAAACUUAGAAAACCUGGCAGAAGCAUACUAAAAAGGCUCUUUGAAGUAUAGAUAACCCGCUAUGUUGCUAAAGACCACAAAUAGUGUAUUGCUGGCUCUGCACUCCUACCGGAGGGCGGACUCCCCAAGCCUUAAUGCUUUCUCUUAGUGUUAGUUUGAGAGACCUGGAUUUUUAAGUAAUAAUUUUGUAUAGAAUAAUAUAAGCUUUGUACAUAUUGCCCGUCACCUCGCCUAAUCAUAGGUGAGAAAGUCGACACAUAGUAGGUGUAGUGGAAAUUGUACCUGGGGGGGGGUUGGUGUACCGACAGAUGGAGGAGAGUUAGG
This 645-nucleotide ribosomal RNA is filed under the name Parasagitta elegans. RNAcentral describes it as "12S ribosomal RNA". Lineage: Eukaryota; Metazoa; Chaetognatha; Sagittoidea; Aphragmophora; Sagittidae. The record is from RNAcentral.